GACGUAGGGGGCCAGCGUUGUUCGGAAUUACUGGGUGUAAAGGGUCAGUAGGCGGUGCGGCAAGUCGGGCGUGAAAUCUCUGGGCUUAACCCAGAGGCUGCUUCCGAAACUGCUGUGCUUGAGUGUGGGAGAGGCGCGUGGAAUUGCAGGUGUAGCGGUGAAAUGCGUAGAUAUCUGCAGGAACACCCGUGGCGAAAGCGGCGCGCUGGACCACAACUGACGCUGAAUGACGAAAGCUAGGGGAGCAAACAGG
This 253-nucleotide ribosomal RNA is filed under the name uncultured bacterium. Its description in RNAcentral is "partial 16S ribosomal RNA". It matches the Rfam family "Bacterial small subunit ribosomal RNA", at positions 524 to 776 of the family's 1533-position model. The record is from RNAcentral.